AGAGGUGGCAAGCGUUGUUCGGAAUUACUGGGCGUAAAGGGCGCGUAGGCGGUCUUCUAAGUUCCGUGUGAAAUCCCUCGGCUCAACUGGGGAAUGGCACGGAAAACUGGAAGGCUUGAGUUCGGGAGAGGGAAGCGGAAUUCCGGGUGUAGCGGUGAAAUGCGUAGAUAUCCGGAGGAACACCGGUGGCGAAGGCGGCUUCCUGGACCGACACUGACGCUGAGGCGCGAAAGCUAGGGGAGCAAACGGGAUUAGAUACCCCGGUAGUCCUAGCUGUAAACGAUGAGUGCUGGGUGUAGGGGGUAUUCACCCCCCCUGUGCCGAAGCUAACGCAUUAAGCACUCCGCCUGGGGAGUACGGUCGCAAGGCUGAA
Molecule: ribosomal RNA, 373 nt
Filed under: uncultured bacterium
Lineage: Bacteria
Description: bacterial SSU rRNA
Rfam family: Bacterial small subunit ribosomal RNA
Source: RNAcentral